Molecule: ribosomal RNA, 778 nt
Filed under: uncultured Neocallimastigales
Lineage: Eukaryota; Fungi; Neocallimastigomycota; Neocallimastigomycetes; Neocallimastigales
Description: partial large subunit ribosomal RNA
Rfam family: Eukaryotic large subunit ribosomal RNA
Source: RNAcentral
AACACUGACGUCGCGACGCAUAUCAAUAAGCGGAGGAAAAGAAACUAACAAGGAUUCCCUUAGUAACGGCGAGUGAAGCGGGAAGAGCUCAAAUUUGAAAUCUUCAAGGUUCUACCUUGACGAAUUGUAGUUUAAAGAAGUGUUUUCUGUUAGAUGAGUAGCAAAAGUUCCUUGGAAUGGGACAUCAUAGAGGGUGAGAAUCCCGUAUUUGGUUAUUCAUUCUAGCUUUGUGAUACACUUUCAAAGAGUCGGAUUGUUUGGGAAUGCAGUCCAAAAUGGGUGGUAAAUUUCAUCUAAAGCUAAAUAUUGGCGAGAGACCGAUAGCGAACAAGUACCGUGAGGGAAAGAUGAAAAGAACUCUGAAAAGAGAGUUAAACAGUACGUGAAAUUGUCAAAAGGGAAGCGUUUGACACCAGUGUUGUUUUUCCGAAAAUCAAUUACGAAUGGCUUGAUUUUGUGUUGUAUUGACCUUAUCAGCUUUCUUCACUUUUUUCGAGUCUUUCUUAAUGCACUUUUCGGUUAACAAGUCAACAUCAAUUUCUUUUGUUGUAAAAGAGUAUUCGGAAGGUGGCUUUCUUUUCGGAGAAAGUGUUUAUAGCCCUAUACUUCUACAAUCGGAGAGAUUGAGGUCUGCAGCGUAGAUCCUUCGGGGUUAGAUACACUUGUGCUAAGUUAGUAGCUUUUCAUAGACAACUUGUUGACUAUGUUUAGUCAUUGUAGGCUUACUCGCUUAUGCUAUUUUACCUACGCUUAGGAUGUUGAGUCGUAGAGCACGCAG